AGACACUGAAAUCACAAAGGAAGAGGCCAAAUGCCUUAGCAAUUUCAAUAAAAAUAUGAAAAUCUUUUUACAUGGUAAAUUUCAUAAUAUAAAAAGUUUAAUGCUGUCUGGAAACAGAGUUUUAAUUUACAAAAAAAGUCCGUACAGGCCAAACAUGGCUAACACUGCAUACAAGGAGAGCAAGUGCGAGGGGCUGCUGCUUGGAUGAGUCUCUGCGGACAGUCCUGUUUGC
This is a non-coding RNA of Tinamus guttatus (white-throated tinamou), 232 nucleotides long. The record is from RefSeq and is a predicted model, not a curated record. NCBI's taxonomy places the organism in Eukaryota, Metazoa, Chordata, Aves, Tinamiformes, Tinamidae.